CCUUUACUACAGCGUGGCACUGAACAUUGACCCUUCAUGUGUAGGAUAGGUGGGAGGCUUUGAAGCACGUACGCCAGUAUGUGUGGAGCCAUCCUUGAAAUACCACCCUUGUAGUGUUGAUGUUCUAACGUCGACCCCUGAUCGGGGUUGCGGACAGUGCCUGGUGGGUAGUUUGACUGGGGCGGUCUCCUCCCAAAGAGUAACGGAGGAGCACGAAGGUGGGCUAAUCACGGUUGGACAUCGUGAGGUUAGUGCAAUGGCAUAAGCCCGCUUGACUGCGAGAAUGACAAUUCGAGCAGGUGCGAAAGCAGGUCAUAGUGAUCCGGUGGUUCUGAAUGGAAGGGCCAUCGCUCAAUGGAUAAAAGGAACUCCGGGGAUAACAGGCUGAU
Molecule: ribosomal RNA, 389 nt
Filed under: Vibrio parahaemolyticus
Lineage: Bacteria; Pseudomonadati; Pseudomonadota; Gammaproteobacteria; Vibrionales; Vibrionaceae
Description: bacterial LSU rRNA
Rfam family: Bacterial large subunit ribosomal RNA
Source: RNAcentral